GCGCCUGUAGCUCAAAAGGAUAGAGCACAGGCCUCCUAAGCCUGGAGUGGCCGUUCGAUUCGGCCCAGGCGCA
This 73-nucleotide transfer RNA is filed under the name Candidatus Omnitrophica bacterium 4484_70.1. Its description in RNAcentral is "tRNA-Arg". It matches the Rfam family "tRNA". From Rfam's summary of the family: Transfer RNA (tRNA) molecules are approximately 80 nucleotides in length. Lineage: Bacteria; Pseudomonadati; Candidatus Omnitrophota. The record is from RNAcentral.